RNAcentral lists this ribosomal RNA (372 nucleotides) under uncultured organism. RNAcentral's name for it is "partial 16S ribosomal RNA". It matches the Rfam family "Bacterial small subunit ribosomal RNA", at positions 527 to 896 of the family's 1533-position model. The record is from RNAcentral.
GUAGGUGGCAAGCGUUGUCCGGAAUUAUUGGGCGUAAAGCGCGCGCAGGCGGUUCUUUAAGUCUGAUGUGAAAGCCCACGGGCUCAACCGUGGAGGGUCAUUGGAAACUGGAGAACUUGAGUACAGAAGAGGAAAGCGGAAUUCCACGUGCAGCGGUGAAAUGCGUAGAGAUGUGGAGGAACACCAGUGGCGAAGGCGGCUUUCUGGUCUGUAACUGACGCUGAGGCGCGAAAGCGUGGGGAGCAAACAGGAUUAGAUACCCUGGUAGUCCACGCCGUAAACGAUGAGUGCUAAGUGUUAGGGGGUUUCCGCCCCUUAGUGCUGCAGCUAACGCAUUAAGCACUCCGCCUGGGGAGUACGGCCGCAAGGCUG